Molecule: long non-coding RNA, 439 nt
Organism: Daphnia pulicaria
Lineage: Eukaryota; Metazoa; Arthropoda; Branchiopoda; Diplostraca; Daphniidae
Exons: 3
Source: RefSeq, a predicted model, not a curated record
GGAAUAGUAUAAAAGGCUUAGGAUAUCGCUCAGUUAGUCACACCAAUCGUCCAGUAAUUCAAACCAAAUCAAAAAUGUUCCAGAAAUUUUUCCUCUUUGCCUGCAUCUUGGCUGUGAUGGCUGUCGUCUACACUAACUCUGCGCCCACUUCUGAUGAUGAAGCAACUGGCGAGGAGAGUGAUCAGUUCUUAUUCUACUGCAGAUGGUUUACCUCUUGCAGCAACAGUACCCAGUGUUCAAGCAAUCUAAUCCACAAGACAUGCAACGGAGGACGAUGCUGCAGAGGUUAACGACUAACUUGGUAAUAAUACCGCCUGGACUCCCCUGGAGAAAGAUAUCCGCUUUACAAUGACAUCGCAACUUUCCCCUUUGGUCUGUUUUUUCACAAUUCUAGAGUAUACCUUAGAAUAGCAGUAAAAAUACACGUCUAUCACUAGCA